This 491-nucleotide ribosomal RNA is filed under the name uncultured bacterium. RNAcentral describes it as "partial 16S ribosomal RNA". It matches the Rfam family "Bacterial small subunit ribosomal RNA", at positions 29 to 507 of the family's 1533-position model. The record is from RNAcentral.
AGUGAACGCUGGCGGUAGGCCUAACACAUGCAAGUCGAACGGCAGCACAGUAAGAGCUUGCUCUUACGGGUGGCGAGUGGCGGACGGGUGAGGAAUACAUCGGAAUCUACUUUUUCGUGGGGGAUAACGUAGGGAAACUUACGCUAAUACCGCAUACGACCUACGGGUGAAAGCAGGGGAUCUUCGGACCUUGCGCGAUUGAAUGAGCCGAUGUCGGAUUAGCUAGUUGGCGGGGUAAAGGCCCACCAGGCGACGAUCCGUAGCUGGUCUGAGAGGAUGAUCAGCCACACUGGAACUGAGACACGGUCCAGACUCCUACGGGAGGCAGCAGUGGGGAAUAUUGGACAAUGGGCGCAAGCCUGAUCCAGCCACACCGCGUGGGUGAAGAAGGCCUUCGGGUUGUAAAGCCCUUUUGUUGGGAAAGAAAAGCAGCAGGUUAAUACCCCGCUGUUCUGACGGUACCCAAAGAAUAAGCACCGGCUAACUUCGUG